This is a long non-coding RNA of Engraulis encrasicolus (European anchovy), 1072 nucleotides long. RefSeq lists it as uncharacterized. The record is from RefSeq and is a predicted model, not a curated record. NCBI's taxonomy places the organism in Eukaryota, Metazoa, Chordata, Actinopteri, Clupeiformes, Engraulidae. The transcript is spliced from 2 exons.
CAGCAAAACACGUUUUCUGAACCAAUUGACACGUUUUUUAACGGUGUCAUUUAGGUGUUGAAUAAAACCAACGUGUCAAACACGUUUGUGGAACGUUUUCUUUGACACGUUUGCAAAAACACCUUUUAAAAGCGUUCAAUACACGUUUAGGUUUAGUGUCAAAUGACACGUGAAAAUACCAACGCAUCUGACACGAAAUCUGAACGUACAAAUUUGGUGUCAAAAGACACGUUUCUUAAAACACUGAUCUGACACCAAAUUCGAACAUGCAGUUUUGGUGUCAAAAGAGACGUUUUUUAAAACACUGAUCUGACACGAAAUCUGAAAGUACAGAUUUGGUGUCAAAAGACACGUUUUUAAAACACUGAUCUGACACGAAAUCUGAACGUACAAAUUUGGUGUCAAAAGACACGUUUCUUAAAACACUGAUCUAGCACUGAAGAAGUUGUUUUUGUCUGAACUGGAUGCAGCUGUGCAGCUCGCGCUUGGCCGGUUGCUAGGCGACCGCUCUGAUUAACUGAAAAUUCACUUCUUUUGCCUGACCUGACAGACCUUCACCCUCUUGAUUUCACCGUAAACUUUUACUAUUUUAUCCUUCAUCUUUCAUAUUUUCACCUUCUUUGACUUUACCCGCAUCCUCUUUACUACCAACUAUCAACCCUCCUUUUGACAAUUUCUCUUUCUGGAUCUACAACGUGAAACUUCAAACGUGAAACUCCGGUGAAGCCAACGCAAGCGUCCUCUUCAACAUUGUCAACAGAAAGCCCAGACACAGACUGCACUCCAACCCAAGUGGCAGCUUGUUUUUAAAAAAUAAAUACAUGCAUUACACAUAUGCUUUUCUUCUUUUGCAUAACUAGGCUAACUAAGGCUAUAAUAAUAACAGUUGUAAUAAUGGUAAUGGCCUCAUAAAUGCUAUAGGAUAAAGCAUAGGCCAAAUUUUAAGCCCCUAACAGAAAAAGCAAGCCCAUAUGGCGCUGCGGCAGGUUUUAUUUUUGGUGUCAAAAAUAGGUGUUGAACACGUAAUAAAACCCAAAUGUACACCUUAUUUGUACGUCCGUGGACGUGUUUU